RNAcentral lists this ribosomal RNA (757 nucleotides) under uncultured Neomoorella sp. RNAcentral describes it as "bacterial SSU rRNA". It matches the Rfam family "Bacterial small subunit ribosomal RNA", at positions 28 to 776 of the family's 1533-position model. Lineage: Bacteria; Bacillati; Bacillota; Clostridia; Neomoorellales; Neomoorellaceae. The record is from RNAcentral.
GACGAACGCUGGCGGCGUGCUUAAUACAUGCAAGUCGAGCGAGGUUACUGCGACAGAUCCCUUCGGGGUGAAGUUGCUUUAACCUAGCGGCGGACGGGUGAGUAACGCGUGGGUAACCUACCCUAAAGUUCGGGAUAACAGCGGGAAACCGCUGCUAAUACCGGAUGCCUUUACCGUGUGGCAUCACAAGGUAAAGAAAGGUGACGCUUUAGGAUGGGCCCGCGUCCCAUUAGCUAGUUGGUGAGGUAACAGCUCACCAAGGCGACGAUGGGUAGCCGGCCUGAGAGGGUGGACGGCCACACUGGGACUGAGACACGGCCCAGACUCCUACGGGAGGCAGCAGUAGGGAAUAUUGCGCAAUGGACGGAAGUCUGACGCAGCGACGCCGCGUGAGCGAUGAAGGCCUUCGGGUUGUAAAGCUCUGUCCUUGGGGAAGAAGGUCUUCGGACUUGACGGUACCCAAGAAGAAAGCCCCGGCUAACUACGUGCCAGCAGCCGCGGUAAUACGUAGGGGGCGAGCGUUGUCCGGAAUUACUGGGCGUAAAGGGUGCGUAGGCGGCCCUUUAAGUCAGAUGUGAAGGCCCGCAGCUUAACUGCGGAAUUGCAUUUGAAACUGGAGGGCUUGAGUGUCGGAAAAGGUAGUGGAAUUCCCAGUGUAGCGGUGAAAUGCGUAGAUUUUGGGAGGAACACCAGUGGCGAAAGCGACUGCCUGGACGAUAACUGACGCUGAGGCACGAAAGCUAGGGGAGCAAACAGG